RNAcentral lists this ribosomal RNA (260 nucleotides) under Acidimicrobiaceae bacterium. RNAcentral describes it as "partial 16S ribosomal RNA". It matches the Rfam family "Bacterial small subunit ribosomal RNA", at positions 1 to 260 of the family's 1533-position model. Lineage: Bacteria; Bacillati; Actinomycetota; Acidimicrobiia; Acidimicrobiales; Acidimicrobiaceae. The record is from RNAcentral.
UUGACGGAGAGUUUGAUCCUGGCUCAGGACGAACGCUGGCGGCGUGCUUAAUACAUGCAAGUCGAACGCUCUCGACCUUCGGGUCACAUGAGAGAGUGGCGAACGGGUGCGUAACACGUGAGAAACCUGCCCCAAAGACGGGAAUAGCCCGAGGAAACUCGGAUUAAUACCCGAUAUCUCCACAAUGCCGCAUGGCAAUGUGAAGAAAGUUCAGGCGCUUUGGGAGGGUCUCGCGGCCUAUCAGCUUGUUGGUGAGGUAA